This 352-nucleotide long non-coding RNA is filed under the name Chinchilla lanigera (long-tailed chinchilla). RNAcentral's name for it is "lncRNA (ENSCLAG00000025017.1)". Lineage: Eukaryota; Metazoa; Chordata; Mammalia; Rodentia; Chinchillidae. The record is from RNAcentral.
GGACUCUGUGCGCAGGCGCCGUGCUGCGGCCUGGGAGCCGGCGCGGGGCUGUGCGCUUGCGCGUUGGGGUCCUGGCGUUGCGGCUUCGCCCUGACGUCCAGGUUUCGCACGUCUUCGUCUUCCUGCAGGACACUGCAGUGGUUUCAGUUUGCAGAAGUUUCUGAACUUUUAACUCAAGGUAAUGAGCCAGUUAAUAGAGUGAAUUUUGUGUGGGAAGCAAUUACCCCAAUUGAUAGGAAACUUGAGAAAAUGAACACAAGCUUUAAUGAGAUUGACAAAAAGGUCGUGUGUCAGAGCUGAGAUGGAGUAAAAAGGAAUAAUGGUGGGGGAAAUCAUUGAAGACAAUGCUAUG